UCUGUAGCAAGGUUAACCGAAUAGGGGAGCCGAAGGGAAACCGAGUCUUAACUGGGCGUUAAGUUGCAGGGUAUAGACCCGAAACCCGGUGAUCUAGCCAUGGGCAGGUUGAAGGUUGGGUAACACUAACUGGAGGACCGAACCGACUAAUGUUGAAAAAUUAGCGGAUGACUUGUGGCUGGGGGUGAAAGGCCAAUCAAACCGGGAGAUAGCUGGUUCUCCCCGAAAGCUAUUUAGGUAGCGCCUCGUGAAUUCAUCUCCGGGGGUAGAGCACUGUUUCGGCAAGGGGGUCAUCCCGACUUACCAACCCGAUGCAAACUGCGAAUACCGGAGAAUGUUAUCACGGGAGACACACGGCGGGUGCUAACGUCCGUCGUGAAGAGGGAAACAACCCAGACCGCCAGCUAAGGUCCCAAAGUCAUGGUUAAGUGGGAAACGAUGUGGGAAGGCCCAGACAGCCAGGAUGUUGGCUUAGAAGCAGCCAUCAUUUAAAGAAAGCGUAAUAGCUCACUGGUCGAGUCGGCCUGCGCGGAAGAUGUAACGGGGCUAAACCAUG
This 556-nucleotide ribosomal RNA is filed under the name Escherichia coli. Its description in RNAcentral is "partial 23S ribosomal RNA". It matches the Rfam family "Bacterial large subunit ribosomal RNA", at positions 634 to 1191 of the family's 2925-position model. The record is from RNAcentral. Lineage: Bacteria; Pseudomonadati; Pseudomonadota; Gammaproteobacteria; Enterobacterales; Enterobacteriaceae.